ACUUAAAUUGAAGAGUUUGAUCAUGGCUCAGAUUGAACGCUGGCGGCAGGCCUAACACAUGCAAGUCGAACGGUAACAGGAAGCAGCUUGCUGCUUUGCUGACGAGUGGCGGACGGGUGAGUAAUGUCUGGGAAACUGCCCGGUGGAGGGGGAUAACUACUGGAAACGGUAGCUAAUACCGUAUAACGUCGCAAGAC
Molecule: ribosomal RNA, 197 nt
Filed under: Citrobacter rodentium
Lineage: Bacteria; Pseudomonadati; Pseudomonadota; Gammaproteobacteria; Enterobacterales; Enterobacteriaceae
Description: partial 16S ribosomal RNA
Rfam family: Bacterial small subunit ribosomal RNA
Source: RNAcentral